This 494-nucleotide ribosomal RNA is filed under the name Kinbergonuphis pulchra. RNAcentral's name for it is "partial 16S ribosomal RNA". It matches the Rfam family "Bacterial large subunit ribosomal RNA", at positions 1818 to 2594 of the family's 2925-position model. The record is from RNAcentral. Lineage: Eukaryota; Metazoa; Annelida; Polychaeta; Eunicida; Onuphidae.
UGCCUAUAGACUUCUCCCAUUAUAGGUUCAUCCUGCCCAGUGAUAUAUUCAACGGCCGCGGUAUCCUGACCGUGCAAAGGUAGCAUAAUCAUUUGCCCCUUAAUUAGGGGCUAGUAUGAAUGGACAAACGAAAAUUUUUCUGUCUCUAAUUGUACCCAUAAAAUCUAACCUUUAGGUGAAGAGGCCUAAAUUAAUAUAUAAGACAAGAAGACCCUAUCGAGCUUAAUCCAAAACCUAAAAAAAAUCCCAAAGCAACCUUAUGAAAAAGAUUUUGUUGGGGCGACAAAGGAACAAAUACAAAUUCCUUAACAACAAAGAUUACCCAUCUCCCAAACGACCCAUUUAUAUGACCGUAGACAUAAGUUACCGUAGGGAUAACAGUCUAAUUUUCUCUCAGAGCCCAAAUCUACGAGAAAGAUUAGCACCUCGAUGUUGGCUUAGGGACUCUUUUAAUUGCAGCCAUUUAAAAAGAAGGUUUGUUCAACCUUUAAUUC